Long non-coding RNA from Rhineura floridana, 1566 nucleotides. RefSeq lists it as uncharacterized. NCBI's taxonomy places the organism in Eukaryota, Metazoa, Chordata, Lepidosauria, Squamata, Rhineuridae. The transcript has 5 exons. The record is from RefSeq and is a predicted model, not a curated record.
AGCAGCAGAAAAAACAGAUGAAGCUUGUUGUUGCUGGUGCUGCUGCUGCUGCUAGCCUGACUCUGGAUAGUCUCUCUGUAUACUGGGCUCCAGAUCACUUGAACUGUCUCAGAGCCUUUUGCCAGAAACACACAGGCAACACCUUCUGCUUAUAAAGCCAGAUUGAAAACCAAAUGGACUAGCAAAGGAGGAAUGGAGAGAUCCAUCCCUCUUCAAGCAACCCAUUCACUUGCCUGCAUGGAAUUCCUGAUCAUCUAUGGCAACUAGGAUGCAGCUAGAGUGCGCAAGAAAAAGAAUGGCCAAGGAACAGGAGACCUGUUGCUGCAUCUCAGCUCUGGAAGAGUGACAGAUAAAGGUUCCAGGUGGGAAUUUAGCAGCUGUGUUUGCCCAAAGCUUAACAGCUGAACAGUGACUGAAGCCUGGACAUUGUCUCGUAAUGCAAGCUUUACUUAUCCCCACAGAAAUGAAAUGCAUACAUCUAUUCACUUGUAUGGAAGAAGUCUAAACUAUGCACUCAUGUACAGCAGAAGGCAGAUCCCUGGAUCCCUGUCUUGGUAAUCCCAAUCACUCAACCUGUCUAGCACCGAGCUUGAUAAGGCUUUUGUCCUCCCUGAAGACACCACUGGGGCACACCUCCCUAAUACAUUGCUUGCUUGUUGAAACGUUUAACAACCCAACGUGAUGUAGCAGCUUGUCAAAGGAUACCUUCAUAUUAUCUUUGUAGCCCAGAGGAAGAACCACCAUGUGAAAUGAGUGAACCCAGCACUGAUGCAGCCCCUGCAGCAAUGGAGAUCCCAGGACAACGAUUAUAUCCAGCUGCUUUCUGCAUUUUGUAGAUAGCUUGUGCAUUGUAUGCAACUGUAGCACAGAUUAAACACCUUGCACAUCACCAUGCAAAAAUAGAUGUUAAACUAAUCUAUUUUUGCACCAGUACUGAAACAGCUUUAAGGCCAAUUAAAACUUUUUUUUCACAUUUCCUUGCCUCCGAGAUCACAGAAGCUGUGGUUGGCAAUAAACAACACCUUACACUUUGCAUGCAAAGUUUAUAUGUCCAGGUCCACCUAAGGUAGUGAAACAAGCAUGGUCUGAAGUGGGAUUAAGUUUUAGAUGCAGUUCUAUCUAAGCCAUAAAAAGAGUUCCAUACUAGUGUGAACAGUAUCAUUAAUGCUUGUGAGAUUCAGUGUAGGUUCUAUCAGCAGCCAACCCAGGGGUUGGAAUAAUUAUUGGUUGCCAAUGCAUAGUACCAGUGCACACUGUUACAAACUAUUGGAACUCUUUCUGUUCCAGCUGGAGGCAUCCUUGUGGUGUGUUAUAUACAACAACAAUCCUUCAGAUGGAAGAUAACUUGUAAUGCAAUUAAAUUUUACUGUUUUAGCCCUUAGUUGCCCAGAACAAUAUCAACUAUUUAUUACUAGGGAAAAAUAUAUUUCUACACUUCAACAUAUUAAAUAUUAAACACAUCCUGGCAAAUGAUGGCAUAACAAUAGAAUACAUUUUAUAGGUAAAAUAAAUAUUUCCAAUAAUUCUGAUCAUUUGUCCAUCUUUGCCUAAUGAACAUUAGCAAAU